CAUGGGCUGUAAUUUAGUUCAAUUCAGAACUGCAGAUAGUACGGCUUCCACAGGAGCAAGGGAUGCCUGAGCAGAAGUGGCUGAGUUCCUAGUGACUUUACGAAGGACUUCUCCGCCUUCCUGCGGCACGAAAACAGGGAUUCUGCACCUGCACUGGGGACGGGCUGGUAAAAGCCUCUGCUCUGCCUCCGGGGACCAGGAACUACAGCAAAUAACCAUGUUGAAAUUGGAUCUUGGCAAAAUGACCAACAAAUUCAUGAAGGAAGCUGAAGGCAAUUUGAAUAAUGGUUCUACCGAAAUUGAAGAAACAUGGAUAUCUCCAAAGGAUAGUAGAGAGCUUGGUUAGUUGUACCCUAAAAUUAGGAUGUGAUUAAGAUGUAUCACUGGCCACAGGAAAUCUGUACAGCUCUUGUGACUGUAGAAAUUGUCCAUGCAUCCUGCCUGGGACUCACAGACCAUGUCUACACUUCUUACCCAGUUUCUGGACUCACAUAUUUUGAGCUCAAGAAACCUAGCAACUUCAAGCAUCCUCCUUGUGUGUCUACCACUUUGUGUUCUAGCCACACCAUUCUAAUAUUUAUACACUCUUUCCCUAACACAUGAAUUGAUUGCCCAGUUGCUUCCUCUUAAAAACCCAGUCUCCUUGGAGUACUUCCAUUUCUCUUUGUGGAUAAUUUCUAUUCAUCUUUUUAGUGGAUAAAAAUUAUUCAAAUUGAUUAGAGCUAUUCAAACAUUGUUAAACUUUCCAAAGAGGUUUUCAGAGAGUUAAUCUUUAGAGAAAUAUAUGUAUCAACUAUCUCUGAAAAUUCCCCAAGGAAGACUUAAAAAUAACUGUAAAGAGUAGCCCAACCUCUUCACUUUGCACCCAAAGAAACUGAGACACAGAGUAAAAGCUACUGCCCAAAGCCAUACUAUCCUAGGUGACAGGGUCAAGACAAACCACUCAUCUCUUGCCAAUCUCUGUAAUGGUGUCCCCAUUAGCCUUUCAUUCAGACCAUUCUGGACAAAUGUGCUAAUCUUUCUGAGUCUAAAUUUACAAUUGAGAAUAAAUGCUGGCAUGGUGGUGCCUGGCUGUAACCCCAGCUACUCUGGAGAGGGAGGCUAGCACAAGAGAAUCACAAGUUUGAGACCAGCUUGGCCAAUUUAGCAAACUCUACCUCAAAAUAUAAAAUGUAAAGGAUUAGGCGUGUAAUCCAGUGUUAGAAUACCCUGGGUUCAAUCCACAGUAUAAAAAGUGGAGAAUAAAACUGGAUAAUCCAGAUUAGUGCUUAUCUUUCCUUUUUUCAUCAUUAUUUGAUUCUCUAUUCGGCUUUCUUGUCUGUACACCAUGAGUUCCUACUUUCAGAAAGAGCUAACACUAUAAUUCUUAAGGUGUGCUCUGUCUUCUUCCUAGAAUGUUCUUCCUAUAGGUGGUUAAGGGUUAACUAACUCCCCUUGCAAUACUUUUUGAAAAGUCACCUUCACUGUCUACCUACUUUAAAUUUCAACCUCACCCUCAGCUCAAAUUCCUACUGUAUUUUUUCAAUCUUUAGUCUUUAUAACAGUCCAACAUACCAUAUCUUUAACUUAUUUCUGUUAUUUUUCAUUUUUCCUCACUAAAAUUUAAACUUUGUGAGUGCACAGAAAUUAUUCUACUGUGUUCUCUACUAUAUCCCAAAAUCCUAGAAUAGUGCCUGGGAUGUAGGAGAUUUGUGCAAUUGACUUAAUAAAUGACUAAGUUAAUAUCUAAUAUAAUGCCUUUUAGUGAUAUUUGCAAUUUAAGCAAAAUAAAACUGUAAAUAAAUAAUGAUGAAGACACUGUCUUAUAUGGAGUGGUGAGGGAAUGCUUCUCUAUAAAGGUAACUUACUUUUGAAUAGAGACAUGAAUGAGACAUGAAUGAAGUGAAAAAAAUGAAUCCAGCUAAUGGUCAAACAUUCUAGACAGACGAAGGCCUGAUCAAAGGCCCUGAGGCCACCUUGUAUUUGGCAGACUCUUUUAACAUGAAGAAAGUCCUUGUGACUGACGCAGAAGAGUGAGGCAAAGAGAGUUAGGAGAUAAAAUGAAAUAAAUUAUUCAGCCCAUUCCAGAAAAGCCUGGUGAGGAAUUUGAAUCUGAUAACCAGACAGUCUACCAAACUGAAAUGUUGGAAGAUUUGCAGAAUAUUGGAAAGUGCACAGUAUUCACUGUAAGUCAUUUAUUAUAUACCACAGAUUGAUUCAUAUUUAGAAGUUACAAGUGAGUGCAAUGAAAAGAGAAAUGAGCAUUCAAUUUUCUUCUUCAAUUACAUGAUUAAUGAUGAUGACAGCAAGAUACACAGAGAUAGAAAGCAACUUAAGUUGAAAAGGGCCAUACAGAAAACUUUACUUGAGAGAGAGGAGAGACUAAUAAAGGGUGGAAAAGAGUCUUGUUUUUUUAAAGACACAUCACAUGUAGCAGCCACACUAAAAAACAGUGUAAAAAAUUCCCCUACAUUAUGCAUUUUUCUGCAUUCAUAUUGUGCUUUUAUACUGUAUAGUGGAAUUUUAAAAAAAUAACUGGACAUUGUCAAAAAAGUGUUUAUUUUAAGCAGCUGUUUGAUCUCACAAACAUACCAAAACAUGAGCCAGGUCAUUCCACUUCUGUAAAACAUACUCUCUUGACGGAAAUAAUCUAUUAUUGUUGAUAACCUCAAUCCAAAUUCUGUAUAUUUUUAUAUGCAUCCUAAGCAAGAGGGUAAGUGGUAAAAUUAAAGGUUGUGCUUUGUCAUGUACCUUAUUCAUGAAGAUUUCCUAUUAUUCAUUUUCUACAUUCAAGCUCAUUCUCUCAAUGUUUAGUAAAUAUGAUGUCAUUUCUAAGAGAAAAUUUUCAAAUCAUCUAGCGUCUCCCCUUAAAGAUGAGAGUCAUUUCAAUAUGACACCAGAACAUCUUCUCUCAGCUCUUACACAGAAAGAUGAGGUCGUUUGUCAAAACACUCAAACUGUGUCGGAGGGUUUCUAAAACUAGAGGUCAUGCUUAUACUUCACUAUUUAGUUCAGGGUUUGUGUCAGUGAGCCUCUAAUAUACUUAACAGGUUUUAACUUGUCAAAUUAAAACCAUACACUAUAUGUAAUGGAACACAAAAGCUCUAGGAAUUAGCUGAAGAAAUUCACAUGGAAUUAGUAGAAUAUGUAGUCUCUUCAUCAUUUUACUUGUCCAAAGGGCACAGCAAUUGGGCAGAUCGCCUACCAUACAUUGUAAAUUAAUUCCAUUCAUUCUGAAAACUUGUUAGUUAUUUCCUUACUUUGAAUUUUGGCCGCCCUAAUUAAUCGCCGUUGGAGAAUUCAGGCACUUGAGCCUCUGCAAGGGGUGCACUUUUUCCAGCUCGUAAUCACAAACUCCUGACAGACAAGAGCCGAAAGCAACGGCUCCUUCACACUUUCAGCUGCACCUCGAGUCCGAAUCCUCGGCGACAGACUUUCUGUCUCUGAUUCCUGGGCUGAGUCCUCCUUGAGAGCAAUGCCUGGGUGAAGACUAAGACAGAUGACUUGCCUUAGUCUGGCCCUUAUCACGGUGAAGCUCUGGCUUGAACACGUAGAGAGCUACGCAGCCCGGGAAGAGUGCUUAGAAGAAACAAAGCACCCAGGGCCACCUCUUCAGGUGACAGCUGCUUUUCCAAGCCCCAGCUCUGUGACACGUGCUGCACUGAGGGACUCUGACUGCAUCACCUCACGGGGGCAAAAUGAGCCUGACACAAAGAGACCCUGGUGGCCUAGCGCUGCCAGCUCAGGCCUUUGCAGUUAAUGCAAGACAGCAGGUUGGGUCCGUAGGGGGCGCCCUGCGAUUUGUUAUCAGAGUAAAACAUCAUCGUUUUAUCUCAAAGGAAUGGAAACUGAUUCUUAACCUGGUCUAUUCAUCCAGAAUAUAUAUUCAUUCUGUAUUCUAUCUGACCGUUACUGAUUACAUUUCUUUAAGUUCAUGUAAUGAUGCAGGGAAAUUACUUUUUACCAUCAAUACUGUGUUUAAAAAUGUAGACACUCAAGAAAGAAUUGCCACCCAGAAAUUCAUUUUAUUUCUGGGAAAUUCCUAAAUUAUCUCAUGAAAACAAUCAUAUACACACAAACAGCAUUUUUUCUCUUUCUUGCUUCUUCUGGCAAGGGUGCUGACAGGAGCACAGCCUAGACUCUGUCACAGAGGCGGAUGGGCAAGCAAAGUGGUUCUCAUGUUUGACAAUUCCACAUAUCUGGAAUGAGCUUUGUACCUGGCCAGACAAGGACGCAGAAACUUUCUUUUACAUGUACUUCGCGCUUCUUAUUCUCCAUUGCUCAGUAAUCUUAGAAUAGCUUUACUCCAAGGAUCUAUGUGCUUUAGUAUCUCAUAUGGCCUAAUAGAACUUGCAUUUGUUAGGGUAUCAACAUAGCAAUGAAAAGGUAGUGAGAAAAUACAAUUUUAAGGUUUGACAUCUAGGGCCGGGGAUGUAGCUCAAUGGUUCUGCCGCUUGCCUCACAAGCGGAGUAAAAGUUAUUCCACAUUAGUCUAUUUACCCUUCUCUGUUUCAAAUGUUGAAAAAUCCAAAAAAUGUUUCAAAGAAGAAUGAGGUGGCAAAGGAAAGGAAAGGAGAAGAAAAAGAAGAGGAAGAAGGAUAAGGGAAGGAGAAAAGGAGGAGGCAGGAGGUGGAGAAAUAUAUUAGGAUGUUUUAGAACUAGGUAACAGCUAUUUCAUUUAUCACAAGGCAUAAAGCAUUCAACUAACUCUUUGUCCCAGAGAAAAGUAACAAAAAGAAUCCAUUAAGGAUCUCUGCUCUUCAGACAAAAAAAAAAUGGACAUUUAUAUUUUAUGACAUUUUGAGAUCAAAUGUAUUUACCUGUGGGCUCUCUGGAAGAAGUAGGGGGAAGAUCUGGGCCGAGAUAUUGCUUUUUAAUGUGGCAACAAUGUGAUAACACUGGUCUGAAAGAACUGCGAAGUUUUAGCUUCUUAAAAACAUUUAAGUAAGAAAAAAUAAAGAGAGAAAAGCAAAAGAGGAGAUGUGUAUUGUUGUAGUGAAACAUUCUAGACUCUACAUGUUAUCACUGAACUUAGACAAAUAAAUUUAAAAAAGGAAUAAGAGCUAGAGCAACAAUAAAAGUCUUGAAAGUUGAAAAGUAACUUUUAGACUGACCCAGGAACUUUGCUGAGCCCUUGAAAGAAGAGCAACUGCUGAUUUGAAAUGGUGCUGGAAUGUGCAUUGGCACCUGGCUGUGUCUUUAAAUUUUUAUCGAGUUUUAGGUAAGUCGUGUGUAUUUUCUCUCUCCUUUUCCUGUUUCAUGAAUAAAGUGACUUAAUUAGACAGGAUGAUAAAAAUACAAAGAAUUGGGCCAAGGAUUUAGCUCAGUGGUUCUGUUGCCUGCCCUGCAAGCGCAAGGACCCGAGUUCGAUCUCCGGUACCAAAAAAAAAACAAACACAAAGAAUUGGAAAUUUAAGCAAUAAUCUAUUUUGACUCAAAAUAAAAUCUUAGAAUAUGACAUAUAAUAAGUAGAAUUUACUUGAAUACUUUUCUCCAUUUAUUUAUGAGAAAAUUAUUGUUAGUUACUUUAGUUUUUAUCAGAGAAUGUGCAUAUUUAUGUUUUAACUAAAUGGAAAAUAAUACAAAUCUAUACUCAUUUUCAGCUAGUAAUCUAUAUUCAAAGUAGUGUCUAUCCAUCUAAAGUAUAAGUAAACUUCACUCAUUGGAUAUCCACUCCUCAUAUUCAUAUACUCUGAAAUUAAACCAUAAACUUGUAUAAUUUUGCUUCACAAAGGAAAGCAAAGAUAAAGCAAUUUUAAAAGGUUGUUUUGUUGGCUUUUUCUCUACUUCAGAUCUUAUUGAUUAGUGUAUAUUUGACUUAGAUGAAGCCUAUGCACAAAUGGACGUGUAUUUAUACAUCCAGUUGUAAAAAUAUAAAAUUCUACAUUAGUAGAAUAAUGCAAGAGUUAAUUCUAAACCGACUUAGGUCUAAAAAUCUCAAGAAGGCCAUCAUUGAGAUUAAAGAACAAAACAAGAAAACUCCGCUCAAUAACUGCAACUCAGCGCAAGAGAAAUGAUAUCCUCUCAUCUAAGGCAGGAAUUGAAUCCUGGGAAACAGAAAGGUUUAGGUGAUUCCAAAUCAAGCUUGCUUUUGGCCCCUAUACGCCUUGCGCUUGUGGAUCUCUCCUGACUGCCUCUAACUGUACCCAUCUGUGGCAGUGGCGUCAUGCCCACUUUAGAGGUCUCUUUUCUGUCCAUCACUCCCUCCCCACAUCCCUCCCUCCCUUUCUUCUCUUCUUUUCUCCUCCUUGCUACUUUCUUUCAUUCUUGUUUCACUUUACUAAGAAAACUAUUUAAGCCAGAGCAGCUUUACAUGGAAGUUGGGAUUUCAGAAAAAUAUGUAUUUGUGUUUGGGCUUUGAUGUGAAAUUUCUAAAUGAUCAGUGGAAGAGGAGGAGUAUUGGAGUUUUCAAAUUUGCUUCUGAAACUAAGACAAAAAUGGGCGUUCCUAUCUGGAUAUUUGUAGUUCAGAUUCCAAAGACUUCCUUGUGUUUGCCAGGUUUUGUUACAACUCCCUGCUCGUACUCUCUUGCGAAUCCCAAAGCAAACUACAGAACCAUAAAGUAAGACAACUGAGCCAGCCUUCAAGUUCAGCUUUACUCCUGCAGAAAAUUCCUUUAAAACAGCUCUGGUGUAUGUGUAAGGAUUUUAGAAUCCUGAAAAAUAUUAAAACAAAGAAUGAAGCCUUGAGUUAAUAUUCAAUGGCACGUGUACAGAAACAUAAAAAUAGGUCAGUUUAAGCAAAUCAUUAAACUUCACUCACUCACAUCUUUCUAAAAAAAGAAACAUUCUGUCCCACUUGGAGUCAUUGCAAAGACUCAAGGUUAUGUAGUUUCAACAAAUCUGGAACUUUAAAUAAUAUGUAUUCCCCCUUUCUCAGCUCUGUCAACCAAUGGACACACACUGCUGUCCUAAGAAGAAAUGUCGUGUUUUGGAAACUUAUGCUAUUUACAAGCAUGUAAAUAUACUGAAUUUUAGGAGACAUCUGUUUUAAAUUUCUCAGUAUGCUGUGUAUAUUUUAAUUUCAGUAUUUCUCCCCAAGUAUUCCACAUUUAAUAAUUAAAGUAUAUCUAAUUUUAGAAUUUUACUGCCCAUUCCAAUAAGAUACCUUUGGUAACUAUAGAGACUUUCAAACAUUAUGCUUUUAACAUUAUAUUAGCUUUAACUAAAAGGCUAUAUUUAAAGGGAGAGGAAAAUUGAACUCCUUCCCAUUUCUUCUGCCAUGUGCCUCAAGCUAUUUCCCGUAAUAGAAACAAAAGCUUAUUUGCCGAUAUCUUUUUUCUCCAAUGGACAUGUUUAGCUUUUGGAUAUCAAUUUUCUAAUCUCUGAGAAAUGAUAAUAUUUUUUCUGGAAUGCCUCAAAUGUUCUCAAUUUAGUAUAAGAAAAUUAUGAUAAAUUAAAAGUGCUUAAAAGAUUUUUCAUGAAGCCAAUUUACCUUAUCAGAGACAGUCUUGCAGUGUGGCUUCACAGAACGGUGUGUUUUCUCCAAGCUUUCAAAUCAGUAUUAUUUGCCAAAUUUUGGUGUCAUUCAUCUGACCUUAAUAAAAGUGGAUAAAAACUAGAAUUGAGAAAGUAAAAGAAACUAUAAAUGGGUAUGUAGGUUAAAAGUUCAUGUUUAGUAAACAAUUUUUAUUUCCCUAAAUAUGUAAAAAAGGAUGUUACCCUCAAUUUUUUAGUACAAAAUAAAAGCUAAAAAUAGACUGAAAAGUAAUAUAUUUUUGUGGCUUUGUUUUCCAAGAUGACAGGAUUUCUUUGUAAAUCACAUAAAAUGUGCUUGCCUUGUAGUUAAAUACAAGCAAUGAGGAGAAACUAACUGGGUUGUUUAAAUCAAUCAAUGUGUUUGAAAUUAUUUUGGGAAUGCUGAGACUUUUAAGGUGACUAUAAUUCUUUUCAUUUGUUUACAGGUCAGAAUUUCUUCAUUUGAGGCAUAAGCAAAAUCCAAUGUAACAUUAAGGAAAGCAAUUUUAAGCAAAAUAUGAUGACCAUACACUAAAAUGUAAAUAGCUAUCUCAAAGAGAAAGCUGCGUUGGGCUAUGAAGCUAGAGGCUACACGUCAAUGAAAUGUUCAUCAACUUUUUAGACAUUGACAUAGUGGAAAUUUAAUAAAAGAAAAAGAUGUAAUGAAAAAUUGAAGAUUCUAAAAUUAUUUUAUGUUGCUUUUAACAAUCUUUCUAGUGGUAUCUUUUGAAGAUAGCUAAAAUUAUUUCAAUAA
This is a long non-coding RNA of Heterocephalus glaber (naked mole-rat), 8190 nucleotides long. RefSeq lists it as uncharacterized. The record is from RefSeq and is a predicted model, not a curated record. Lineage: Eukaryota; Metazoa; Chordata; Mammalia; Rodentia; Bathyergidae.